This 495-nucleotide ribosomal RNA is filed under the name uncultured bacterium. RNAcentral's name for it is "partial 16S ribosomal RNA". It matches the Rfam family "Bacterial small subunit ribosomal RNA", at positions 28 to 507 of the family's 1533-position model. The record is from RNAcentral.
GACGAACGCUGGCGGCGUGCCUAAUACAUGCAAGUAGAACGCUGAAGGAGGAGCUUGCUUCUCCGGAUGAGUUGCGAACGGGUGAGUAACGCGUAGGUAACCUGCCUGGUAGCGGGGGAUAACUAUUGGAAACGAUAGCUAAUACCGCAUAACAGUAGAUGUUGCAUGACAUUUGCUUAAAAGGUGCAAUUGCAUCACUACCAGAUGGACCUGCGUUGUAUUAGCUAGUUGGUGAGGUAACGGCUCACCAAGGCGACGAUACAUAGCCGACCUGAGAGGGUGAUCGGCCACACUGGGACUGAGACACGGCCCAGACUCCUACGGGAGGCAGCAGUAGGGAAUCUUCGGCAAUGGACGGAAGUCUGACCGAGCAACGCCGCGUGAGUGAAGAAGGUUGUCGGAUCGUAAAGCUCUGUUGUAAGAGAAGAACGAGUGUGAGAGUGGAAAGUUCACACUGUGACGGUAUCUGACCAGAAAGGGACGGCUAACUACGUG